Molecule: transfer RNA, 90 nt
Filed under: Chloroflexota bacterium
Lineage: Bacteria; Bacillati; Chloroflexota
Description: Chloroflexi bacterium tRNA-Ser
Rfam family: tRNA
About the family: Transfer RNA (tRNA) molecules are approximately 80 nucleotides in length.
Source: RNAcentral
GGAGGGGUGUCCGAGUGGUUGAAGGAGGCGGUCUUGAAAACCGCUGCCCUGUUUUCAGGGCCGUGGGUUCGAAUCCCACCCCCUCCGCCG